UACGUAGGUGGCAGCGUUGUCCGGAUUUACUGGGCGUAAAGGGCGUGCAGGCGGUUUGUUAAGUGCAGGGUGAAAGCUCCCGGCUCAACUGGGAGAGGUCCUUGCAUACUGGCAAACUCGAGGGAGGCAGAGGAAAGUGGAAUUCCCGGUGUAGUGGUGAUAUGCGUAGAUAUCGGGAGGAACACCUGUGGCGAAGGCGGCUUUCUGGGCCUUACCUGACGCUGAGGCACG
Molecule: ribosomal RNA, 231 nt
Filed under: uncultured bacterium
Lineage: Bacteria
Description: partial 16S ribosomal RNA
Rfam family: Bacterial small subunit ribosomal RNA
Source: RNAcentral